Molecule: ribosomal RNA, 482 nt
Filed under: uncultured bacterium
Lineage: Bacteria
Description: partial 16S ribosomal RNA
Rfam family: Bacterial small subunit ribosomal RNA
Source: RNAcentral
GAUGAACGCUGGCGGCGUGCUUAACACAUGCAAGUCGAACGGAAAGGCCCAGCUUGCUGGGUACUCGAGUGGCGAACGGGUGAGUAACACGUGGGUGAUCUGCCCCUGACUCUGGGAUAAGCCUGGGAAACUGGGUCUAAUACCGGAUAUGACCAUUCCCUGCAUGGGGGGUGGUGGAAAGCUUUUGCGGUUGGGGAUGGGCCCGCGGCCUAUCAGCUUGUUGGUGGGGUAAUGGCCCACCAAGGCGACGACGGGUAGCCGACCUGAGAGGGGGAUCGGCCACACUGGGACUGAGACACGGCCCAGAGUCCUACGGGAUGCAGCAGUGGGGAAUAUUGCACAAUGGGCGCAAGCCUGAUGCAGCGACGCCGCGUGAGGGAUGACGGCCUUCGGGUUGUAAACCUCUUUCGCCAGAGACGAAGCGCAAGUGACGGUACCUGGAGAAGAAGCACCGGCCAACUACGUGCCAGCCGCCGCCGUAA